AGAGUUUGAUCAUGGCUCAGAACGAACGCUGGCGGCGUGGCUAAGACAUGCAAGUCAAACGGACCAUUAAUUUAUUAGUAGUUAGUGGCGAAAGGGUUAGUAAUGGAUAGGUAACGUACCCCAUGCUUUGGGACAGCGUCGGUUGCUUCGGCAACCUACCGAAAGGGGCGGUAAUACCAAAUAAUAUCAUACAUUGACAGAUGUAUGAUCAAAGAUUUAUCGGCAAGGGAGCGGCCUAUCUCCUAUCAGCUUGUUGGUGAGGUAACGGCUCACCAAGGCUAUGACGGGUAGCGGGACUGAGAGGUUGGCCCGCAACAUCGGGACUGAGACACUGCCCGGACCUCCACGGAGGGCUGCAGUAACGAAUAUUGCGCAAUGGGCGAAAGCCUGACGCAGCGACGCCGCGUGUAGGAGGAAGUCCCUCGGGAUGUAAACUACUGUCAGGGGGAAGAAAGUGUGCUCCGGCACAUUGAUCUAACCCAGAGGAAGUCACGGCUAACUUCGUGCCAGCAGCCGCGGUAAGACGAAGGUGGCAAGCGUUGUUCGGUAUCACUGGGCUUAAAGAGUGUGUAGGCGGAAUGGUAAGCGUUUUGUGAAAUCCCUCGGCUUAACCGAGGAAUUGCUGGACGAACUGCUGUUCUUGAGGCAAGUAGGGGUGCACGGAACUCUUGGUGGAGCGGUGGAAUGCGUAGAUAUCAAGAGGAACGCCGGUGGUGAAAACGGUGCACUGGGCUUGUCCUGACGCUGAGACACGAAAGCGUGGGGAGCGAACGGGAUUAGAUACCCCGGUAGUCCACGCCGUAAACGAUGUCUACUAGGUUGUGGUGGUUCUGACGCCAGCACGGCCGAAGCAAAAGUGCUAAGUAGACCGCCUGGGGGAGUACGGUCGCAAGGCUAAAACUCAAAUGAAUUGACGG
RNAcentral lists this ribosomal RNA (917 nucleotides) under uncultured bacterium. Its description in RNAcentral is "bacterial SSU rRNA". It matches the Rfam family "Bacterial small subunit ribosomal RNA", at positions 8 to 916 of the family's 1533-position model. The record is from RNAcentral.